RNAcentral lists this ribosomal RNA (424 nucleotides) under uncultured bacterium. RNAcentral's name for it is "partial 16S ribosomal RNA". It matches the Rfam family "Bacterial small subunit ribosomal RNA", at positions 360 to 776 of the family's 1533-position model. The record is from RNAcentral.
AAUUUUGGACAAUGGGGGAAACCCUGAUCCACCAAUGCCGCGUGCAGGAUGAAGGCCUUCGGGUUGUACACUGCUUUUGUACGGAACGAAACGUCUUUGGCUAAUACCCUGGGCUCAUUACGGUACCGUAGGAAUAAGCACCGCCUAACUACGUUCCAUCAGCCGCGGUAAUACGUAGGGUGCAAGCGUUAAUCGGAAUUACUGGGCGUAAAGCGUGCGCAGGCGGUUUUGUAAGACAGUGGUGAAAUCCCCGGGCUCAACCUGGGAACUGCCAUUGUGACUGCAAGGCUGGAGUGCGGCAGAGGGGGAUGGAAUUCCGCGUGUAGCAGUGAAAUGCGUAGAUAUGCGGAGGAACACCGAUGGCGAAGGCAAUCCCCUGGGCCUGCACUGACGCUCAUGCACGAAAGCGUGGGGAGCAAACAGG